UCCGGCUUUGGCGUCGAUAUCUCGACGACUAGAGGCAGCGAGGAGCCUCCCCAUACCGCAAUCGUACGCUCAAUUUCACUGACAAUUUGAGCCAUAGGCCAUCGAAAUCUGUCUGCCUAAUUGGAUGUUGGCGUGGGUUCACGGAAGGGAACCAAUAGGGCAUGUGGACGUUUAAUGUAUCUGGAUUCAAUGCUCAUAAUAAACGAGCGUGUGAAUACAGUGUUAUAGAGCUGCUGUGUUCGCGUCAAAUUGACGUGGAAAGGGACACUUGCGUCGGGAUGCGGAUGGUGAUUUGUAGGAAACGUUUGCAUCGCCGAGCCGCGUGGAGAGAGAAAAGGUGCGUCAUAGUUCGCUUGUACGAAGAACAUCUCCACGUUAGCGUUGAGCAGUUUAGAGAGGAAACAGUUGCGCAGCCGCCCUUGUUAACAAGUCCCGACUGGCGCCCGCAUAGUUCAAUGCAGCCCUAAAGGACAUUUACCAACUUCUCAAUUGUGAGAUACAAUUGAACGUACUUCUCUGUGGGCAAUUGAUCGUGUUUCUGAAGUUGUGUAGGCGGCGUUACAUGCCAAUAUUUACGAUUCGUGCUUCUCAGUAGACAUACCCACAAUUUGAAAUUCCCCCUGCAUCCUGGACCAACAGUGUCCCGGUAUUGACAGCAUGAUGGAAGCCGUCGGUGGUACAGAGGGUCACCAUAUCAGGAGUACCUUAUCAGCAUAUUGGAUGCUGUUCCGAAUAGAGCAGCCAGAUUCAUCUCACGUGCGCAAAAUUGCCGAAAAAUGCAGGAGCCCAUGCGAAGUGUACCAGACACGCUCCCACACAUGGUGUUGGUGUGCCCGCACCGCGAGAAAAACAGUGAAGAUGAUGCCUCAGAACCGCUACAAGCGAUCGAAGAAACGUGGGAGGCAAUGUUAAAGGCACAGAGCCUGGAAGAUCAGCGAAGUCUGGUUGACCGGGCCCGGGCUGCAGCAUUAGCCAACGGCUUUCUGGACUAAGAGAGCCGCCCACCUAGGGCGAAGAAAGGACACUUUCUCGCUGUUUCUUACAAUAAACGUUCAUUCCUCCUC
Non-coding RNA from Dermacentor andersoni, 1064 nucleotides. The record is from RefSeq and is a predicted model, not a curated record. Lineage: Eukaryota; Metazoa; Arthropoda; Arachnida; Ixodida; Ixodidae.